Phoenix dactylifera (date palm) is the source of this 750-nucleotide long non-coding RNA. RefSeq lists it as uncharacterized. NCBI's taxonomy places the organism in Eukaryota, Viridiplantae, Streptophyta, Magnoliopsida, Arecales, Arecaceae. The record is from RefSeq and is a predicted model, not a curated record.
GCCAGCCCCAUCACCACCGCUCCGCCGCUGCCGCUCGCCCCCUCCUCCUCCUCCUCCUCCUCCUCGUCCUCCUCCUUCACCUCCAUAUCCAUCUCCUCGUCCGCCUCCUCGCUGGUCCCUCCUAGCUUCUCCAUUUCCUGAGCCAUCCCCUUCGCGUGACCCCUUUUCUCCGGUAUUACAAGCCUAACCCUUGCUCCCACGCCUUUUCCAUUUCUAGAAAAAAGGGCUACUAGUUGAGAUCUCGCUCCUUUCUUCAAAAGGCGCGUCCUCUCCGACGGAAUUGGUACCUCCGGUGGGGAUUCGAGGCGGCGCUCCGGUCUCCUCCGGCGAUCCGGGCGGCCGGCAAGAUGGAAGCCGGGUCUGAGUAACUGCUGACCCGGAGCCGACCCUCCGGCGAGGUCCUGGGCGGAGAUUAGGCGGGGUUGGUCGCUCCUGCGGGUUCCUCCGGCGGCGGUCCGGCCGGUUCGCGUGUGGGGUUUGGGGGCCGCUAGGGUUUCGCUCGUGUGCGGCGCGUGUUGUGGUUUAUCUUUAGCACGCCUGGCGCGAGGGUGGGAAGGGUAGGGACACGUGCAGCACGUGCGAACUGCAGGGUUUGGUGACCUCUCGCGAGUAGUCGCUUGGGGGAAGCCGUGGCUCGCACGGGGGUUAAUAAAUUUAUCUGUUUAGUAUACUCUAAAAGAAAUGUCUAAUAUUUAUUGAGACUGUGAUUUUUACUAUUUUAUACUAGAGUAGAAGUCUGUUUCUCGGCAA